UUGGAGGGCAAGUCUGGUGCCAGCAGCCGCGGUAAUUCCAGCUCCGAUAGCGUAUAUUAAAGUUGUUGCAGUUAAAAAGCUCGUAGUUGAACUUCAGGCCUGGCUGGACGGUCCGCCUUCCGGGCGAGUACUGUCUGUGGUCGGGUCCUACCUUCUGGCGAAGCGUCAUGGUCUUAACCGGCCGUGGCGGGGAACCAGGACUUUUACUGUGAAAAAAUUAGAGUGUUCAAAGCAGGCAAUUUGCUUGGAUACAUUAGCAUGGAAUAAUGGAAUAGGACAAUGGUUCUAUUUGUUGGUUUCUAGGACUGUUGUAAUGAUUAAUAGGGAUAGUUGGGGGCAUUAGUAUUCAAUUGUCAGAGGUGAAAUUCUUGGAUUUAUUGAAGACUAACUACUGCGAAAGCAUUUGCCAAGGAUGUUUUCAUUAAUCAAGAACGAAAGUUAGGGGAUCGAAGACGAUCAGAUACCGUCGUAGUCUUAACCAUAAACUAUGCCGACUAGGAAUCGGGCGAUGUUGAAAAAAUGACGCGCUCGGCACCUCAUGGGAAACCAAAGUGUUUGGGUUC
This 563-nucleotide ribosomal RNA is filed under the name uncultured Glomeromycotina. Its description in RNAcentral is "SSU rRNA". It matches the Rfam family "Eukaryotic small subunit ribosomal RNA", at positions 548 to 1114 of the family's 1831-position model. The record is from RNAcentral. Lineage: Eukaryota; Fungi; Glomeromycota.